GGUUGUGGCUCAGUGGUAGAGCACUUGCCUAGUGUGUGUGAGGCACUGGGUUUGAUUCUCAGCACCG
This 67-nucleotide transfer RNA is filed under the name Marmota monax (woodchuck). RNAcentral's name for it is "tRNA.Thr". The record is from RNAcentral. Lineage: Eukaryota; Metazoa; Chordata; Mammalia; Rodentia; Sciuridae.